RNAcentral lists this non-coding RNA (27 nucleotides) under Homo sapiens (human). The record is from RNAcentral. Lineage: Eukaryota; Metazoa; Chordata; Mammalia; Primates; Hominidae.
UGCCCCAUGCUGUAGACCCUCUGGGGU